CAAACUUGACGUCGCGAGAGGCAUAAAUUCUCCGGUUGGUCGGUUCGAAACAUAGGUAGCAGUCUUGAUUCAUAGAAUAUCCGACAAAUAUGCAUUCGGCAGAUUUGGCCUUCAGUUUGUUCUUUCGAUAGGGUCGAAGACACGGGUAACACCUGCUUUCGAAUACACGAAGUUUUGAAUAUUCCGGUUGUUGGAUUGGUUGUCCAUGGAGAAUGAGGGUGAACCAAAGGAAGCCAUGGAGCAAUCAACGUUUGGAGGAGAAUGAAGAGUAAAUGUGGAGGUAGAACUUUUGGGCAAAACAAACUUACUUUGCCUUUAUUGUAUGAGGGUAUUUAUACACAUUUGAGUAUAACAAACCCACAAUUAUGUGAGUGGGGUUUGUUAUCUUUUACAACUUUGUAUUUCUUAACUAUAUAUAUCUAUAAUUACUUAUAUCAUAUAUAUAUUCCAAUAUUUCCCCUCAAGUUGGCGAUUGAGAAACUACGCCGAGCUUGGAUCUUAUUUCAAGAAAUCGUGACGAGGGUAGUGGCUUAGUGAAGCCAUCUGCUAUCUGAUCUCUUGUAGAUAUAUGAGUGACAUGUAUUUCUCCAUUUUUGACUAAUUCUCGUACGAACCCGAAAUUGAUUGCCAUAUGUUUCAUUCUAGAGUGAAACACUGGAUUGUGUGCUAAAUAUUUAGCCCCAAGGUUAUCCGUCCAUAAUUGAGCUCGUGAAAUUGGUAUUAGUCGAAUCUCCCUUAGUAAAUUCCGAAUCCAUACUGUUUCCGAUGCUGCAUCAGCCAUAAUGCGAAACUCAGCUUCUGUGGAUGAUCGUGCAAUUGUGGGUUUGGUUGAUAUGGGGAAUUAAUUUGUGGGUGGUUUUCUUGGGCUUGGGCCGGGUUAUUAUUAUUAUUUUGAUUUUGAUAGGGGUUAACCCUAAAUUGACACUUAUACGGGCUGUGGCCCAUGCCCCCACAAACCGGGCAUGGGUCUCUUCUGACUUGUGCGACCCGCCCACGAUUUCCUCUUCCCUUCCCCAAAUUGUUCCGGCCGCCGCGACCUCCCCUGCCACCGGUGAAACUCGAAGCCGGCGAAGACGUCCCUCCAAAUCCGUAGUUUGUCGCCGUCUGGUUCAACACGGGGAUCGAUUGCCGCAUUUUCAUCCGGAUUUGGUGGCUGGACAUCACCUCGAGCAGCUCGUCGAAGGUGACAGCCGACUGCCGGAUCGCCAAAGCCGUCACCGCCUCGCCGAAGUCUGGUCCCAGAUUGUUGUAGAUCGUCGCGUUGAAAAUGCGAGUGGGAACAGAUGCCCCCGCCGCUGCCAGUUCGUCGGCCAGUAGCUUGGCUCGCCGGAGAUAUGUCGUGACAUCCUCGCCGGCGGCGUGUCUGUUGUUCUGCAGCUGCAUCUGGAGCUGGAGGAUUCGCGACUCUGAUGGUCGCCCAUAUGACAUCGCCAAUGUGUCCCAGAUUGUAGCAGCGGAUUCCAAUCCUAACACCGUGGGGAGCACCUCCUCGGAGAGGGAGGAUAAAAUCCAACUAACCAACAGUUGGUCCUUACGCCACCAUGCCAUAUAGAUUGGGCAUUGUGGAUUGGGCGUAGGAGGAGAGGUUGAUUUGUCGAUCAAGAACUUCAUGUCAAAGCAAUUUAACAAUGGACUGAAUUGCAUUUUCCACAAGAGGUAGUUUGUUGAUGAUAACUUGAUGUGGAGAAAAUUCUGGAUGGAUCCAAAAGAUGGGGAUCCAGCCAACAUUUGAUGAGGGAGCAGUGCUAGAUUGGAUCCAUUUGGAUCAGCAACUGCUGGAAUUACCAGUGAGGGAUGAGGUAUCGAAGAGUGCAGCGGAUUCGCGUUCGAUGGAGCCACAGGAUCGACAUCGGCGGAUGAUACCAUGUUGGAUUGGUUGUCCAUGGAGAAUAAGGGUGAACCAAAGGAAGCCAUGGAGCAAUCAACGUUUGGAGGAGAAUGAAGAGUAAAUGUGGAGGUAGAACUUUUGGGCAAAACAAAACUUACUUUGCCUUUAUUGUAUGAGGGUAUUUAUACACAUUUGAGUAUAACAAACCCACAAUUAUGUGAGUGGGGUUUGUUAUGUUUUACAAUUUUGUAUUUCUUAAAUAUAUAUAUCUUUAAUUACUUAUAUCAUAUAUAUAUUCCAAUAUUGGUGAAUAUGUCGUUGGUGAAAAUGAUGGUUGAGGUAGUUGGUUCGUACCUUGUUGAAAUAUUGUCGGAUGGUGUCGGGUGUUGCCAUACGACGGUGUUGCAUAUGGUUGGAAGGUUGCAUAAGAAGGGUUUAAAGAGAACGACGUCGGGUGGUACAUCUCCGACGGGUAGGUCAAACCAUAUGGAGGUGAGCUCAUCAUUGAAAGCACCAAAUGAUAGGAC
Molecule: long non-coding RNA, 2355 nt
Filed under: Zostera marina
Lineage: Eukaryota; Viridiplantae; Streptophyta; Magnoliopsida; Alismatales; Zosteraceae
Description: long non-coding RNA (ZMAR_LNC000558)
Source: RNAcentral